GGGCCCUUACCUCAGUCUGGAUAGAGGACUCGGCUACGAACCGAGGCGUCGUAGGUUCAAAUCCUAUAGGGCCCG
This 75-nucleotide transfer RNA is filed under the name Candidatus Melainabacteria bacterium. RNAcentral describes it as "tRNA-Arg". It matches the Rfam family "tRNA". Rfam says of the family: Transfer RNA (tRNA) molecules are approximately 80 nucleotides in length. The record is from RNAcentral. Lineage: Bacteria; Bacillati; Candidatus Melainabacteria.